Molecule: ribosomal RNA, 1002 nt
Filed under: Staphylococcus sp. NT10I3.3AC
Lineage: Bacteria; Bacillati; Bacillota; Bacilli; Caryophanales; Staphylococcaceae
Description: bacterial SSU rRNA
Rfam family: Bacterial small subunit ribosomal RNA
Source: RNAcentral
GAUGAACGCUGGCGGCGUGCCUAAUACAUGCAAGUCGUAGCGAACAGACGCAGGAGCUUGCUCCUCUGACGUUAGCGGCGGACGGGUGAGUAACACGUGGAUAACCUACCUAUAAGACUGGGAUAACUUCGGGAAACCGGAGCUAAUACCGGAUAAUAUAUUGAACCGCAUGGUUCAAUAGUGAAAGACGGUUUUGCUGUCACUUAUAGAUGGAUCCGCGCCGCAUUAGCUAGUUGGUAAGGUAACGGCUUACCAAGGCAACGAUGCGUAGCCGACCUGAGAGGGUGAUCGGCCACACUGGAACUGAGACACGGUCCAGACUCCUACGGGAGGCAGCAGUAGGGAAUCUUCCGCAAUGGGCGAAAGCCUGACGGAGCAACGCCGCGUGAGUGAUGAAGGUCUUCGGAUCGUAAAACUCUGUUAUUAGGGAAGAACAAAUGUGUAAGUAACUAUGCACGUCUUGACGGUACCUAAUCAGAAAGCCACGGCUAACUACGUGCCAGCAGCCGCGGUAAUACGUAGGUGGCAAGCGUUAUCCGGAAUUAUUGGGCGUAAAGCGCGCGUAGGCGGUUUUUUAAGUCUGAUGUGAAAGCCCACGGCUCAACCGUGGAGGGUCAUUGGAAACUGGAAAACUUGAGUGCAGAAGAGGAAAGUGGAAUUCCAUGUGUAGCGGUGAAAUGCGCAGAGAUAUGGAGGAACACCAGUGGCGAAGGCGACUUUCUGGUCUGUAACUGACGCUGAUGUGCGAAAGCGUGGGGAUCAAACAGGAUUAGAUACCCUGGUAGUCCACGCCGUAAACGAUGAGUGCUAAGUGUUAGGGGGUUUCCGCCCCUUAGUGCUGCAGCUAACGCAUUAAGCACUCCGCCUGGGGAGUACGACCGCAGGGUUGAACUCAAAGGAAUUGACGGGGACCCGCACAAGCGGUGGAGCAUGUGGUUAAUUCGAAGCAACGCGAAGAACUUACCAAAUCUUGACAUCUCUGACCCUCUAGAGAUAGAGUUU